This 473-nucleotide long non-coding RNA is filed under the name Vigna radiata. Its description in RNAcentral is "long non-coding RNA (VRAD_LNC004393)". The record is from RNAcentral. Lineage: Eukaryota; Viridiplantae; Streptophyta; Magnoliopsida; Fabales; Fabaceae.
UUGUAGUACCCACCACCUCCUGAGGGAGGAUUUGAUGGUGUUGAAGGGGUUGAUGGUGUCGUCGGGACUGAGGGCGUUGGAGUAGAGGGUUCUUGUGGUGGAGUUCCACAAUUGCUACCAUCAGGUGGCGAUGGGGUUGGAUUGUAACUUCCACCACCCUCAGGUGGCGAUGGGGUUGGAUCAUAGCUUCCACCACCUGGGGGAGUUGAUGGGGUUGGAUUGUAAUAUCCACCACCUGAGGGUGGUGAUGGGUUUGGGUCAUAACUUCCACCACCAGGGGGAGUUGAUGGAGUUGGAUUGUAACUUCCACCAUCAGGGGGAGUUGAUGGGGUUGGAUUGUAACUUCCACCAUCAGGGGGAGUUGAUGGGGUUGGAUUGUAACUUCCACUUCCACCACCGUCUGAGGGUGGUGAUGGGGUUGGGUCAUAGCUUCCACCACCUGGAGGAGUUGAUGGAGUUGGAUUGUAACUUCC